This 2301-nucleotide long non-coding RNA is filed under the name Nicotiana tabacum (common tobacco). RNAcentral describes it as "long non-coding RNA (NTAB_LNC009818)". Lineage: Eukaryota; Viridiplantae; Streptophyta; Magnoliopsida; Solanales; Solanaceae. The record is from RNAcentral.
UAAUAUAAGAACUUUCCAUUACUUAAAGGUCAUAAUACAAAAAAAACACUUCAUAAAUACAUGUCAAGGUAUCUACACAUGAAAACAAAAGAAUCACAAGAUACUAUCUUCAAACUCCUUGCCAACUAUUCCCAUUAUAAACAAUGUUGUCUCUGAAAUUGGAAAAAAAAAAAUGAAUGAAAGCAAGGCUUCAUUUCGAUAACAUGAUAUUGUGCAUGAAAGAGUUUGAGAAAAAUCUAGCAUCAUCUUGAAAGAUGGCAGAAAUUGAAGUUGUACAUAUCAUGAGUGCGAGAAAUUUUACUUUUUAGGGUAUUCAACAUUCAAUAAAAACUUCUUUUCUCACUGCCGGGGGAAAUUGUCACUAAUCAUCUCCAUAUGUACAAUAAACAAUUUUCAGUAGAUGGCCUUUUGAUUUACUUUUUCUCUCUAUGAAUAUAAACAUAAAGUACUAAUUACUAAGGCAGUCGAUGACUUAUGUAGCUCAAACAUUCUAAAUAUCAGCAAUUAUGUCUUACCUCUACGAUGAAUAAGUCCAAAAAAGAUGAGUAUUUCCAAGUGCCAUUGCAAACUUAUAGAAAAUUCAGUCACCUUGAAUAACAUAGAAAUUGAAACUUUUCAGAGGUACAGAACAAAGAAAAGGGUAAUGAAGUUCAUAAUAUAUAGCACCUAAAAUGAUUACAAUUCAAUUUUAGUUGCACAAUUGCAAUCAAAUGACUAUAAGAAAGAUAAUUUACCAUUCUUUAAAUUGAAGCUACCUGUUACUUAUUUAUUCAUGUUCUUAACAUUACAUUUACAUUUGCAAGCAUCUAGAUAACUCUAUAAGCAAGCUUUCCCUGUAACUACUUCUUUGAUUAGUCUUUAUAUAGCAUUUAGCUAUAUAAUUCAGAACCUUCUAUUUGUAAUAUAUCUAAUGCUAUAAAUAAGGCUUUCACCUUAAUAUCCUUAUUAUAAAAUCAAAUUUGCAAUAUUAAGUAGGACUCUUGUGAUCAACAUAUCUCAUUCUUCUUUUUCUUUUAUACAAUUUCUCUAAUACUAUCUAUAGUUUGAUCUGUGCUAAUAAAACACACAACAAUAGUAGAUGAUAAAGUAGACUAGAGAGUAUCAACAAAGAAAAUAUACAUCAAAUAUGUGUAGUAAAUUUCAUAAGCAACAAAAGAAAAGUCACAGAAGCUUACCACACUGGCAGUAGGAUGAACAGAUGAAACAGUCUUAGUAGCUAUGUAUAGAGACUGAUGAUGAGGAAGAAUUUCUUCUUUAUUCUUUAAUCCCCCCUCCUCCCAAAUACAUAAGUUAAAAAGUACUCCACGGCUACUAUAAAAUUUGUUAACAGGAACAAGAAAGAACAAGAGGAUUAAUAUCCUAUCUAGAAUGGGUUACCCUAUUUUAUAUUAUUCAAUUUACAUGGCAAGUAUUAACUAAUAACAAACCUCUACUAUCUGCAGCAAGUAUAUUUACAAUUAUUAUUUGAACUAACGAUGUACAUCUAUUACAAUAAUUGAGUACUAUAUAGAUAGAUGAAAAUAAUUAUGGUAUAUAGCAACUCAAAGAUUGACUUUCUUCUACUGAUUAAUCAAAGUUCACCUCUAUUAUUCUCAAAUCAGAACACAGCUCUUCAUGCCUAAGCUACAGUUAAUUAGAUCAAAUUACUCAAAUGACUUGCAUAUGUGGACUUCAACUAAUCUACAUCAAACACUUAUUGAUGAAACCAACUAAUGAAUAAUUUAAAAGUAAUUUACACAAAUGUUGGUCUUCUAUAAAUUCAUGUUAUCAUACCCUUUUGAUUUAGACCUACCAUCUAAACAACUACAAAGAAAAUUAUGAAUUUCACAAAGUUUACUUUCAUAGAAGAAGGAAAUGGCAAGUAAUACAGCACCCUAAAAGAGUAAAGUUAAAAAGGAUAUCAAAGUUUCUUUGUUCAACAAGACACCUCAAACAUUUUAAAUCGAGAAAAGGCAAUUGGAGAGAAGGAUUGAGUCCUUGAGAAGAAAAUAUUUUAAAUCGAGAAAGGCAACAGGAGAGAAGGAAUGAGUCUAUGAAAAGAAACUUACUACCACCAAAUAACAGAAUUAUAGCUCUUCCUCACUUCAACUCCAGCCUGAAUUAGAAACAACAUAAAAGAAUUAUAAGUGCAACAAAGAUUACACUGGCAUUACAAUAGAAAAUUGAUAAAAAGGCAAAUGUUCUUCAGCUCGGAAGUAAUUAAAUCUACAAAACUAAGAAUAGAUAGAGAAACUACAAGAAAAAAAUACUUGGAUUGUCCAAUAGUCAAUAUAAUGAGGGCGCUGAGACGAACACAUUUAU